CUCCGGUUGAUCCUGCCGGACCUGACUGCUAUCGGAUUGGUACUAAGCCAUGCGAGUCGUUGUAGCAAUACAAGGCGGACGGCUCAGUAACACGUAGUCAACCUAACCUAUGGACGUGGAUAACCUCGGGAAACUGAGAAUAAACCGCGAUAGAUCAUUAUGCCUGGAAUGGCUUAUGGUUUAAACAAUUUAUUGCCGUAGGAUGGGACUGCGGCCUAUCAGCUUGUUGGUGAGGUAAUGGCCCACCAAGGCUAUAACAGGUACGGGCUCUGAGAGGAGAAGCCCGGAGAUGGGUACUGAGACACGGACCCAGGCCCUAUGGGGCGCAGCAGGCGAGAAACCUUAGCAAUGUGCGAAAGCACGACUGGGUCAGUCCGAGUGAUUCCUGAUAAAGGAGUCUUUUGCCUGUCCUAAAAGCACAGGUGAAUAAGGGGUGGGCAAGUCUGGUGUCAGCCGCCGCGGUAAUACCAGCACCUCGAGUGGUCAGGACGUUUAUUGGGCCUAAAGCAUCCGUAGCCGGCUUUGCAAGUCUUCGGUUAAAUCCACCUGCUCAACAGAUGGGCUGCUGGAGAUACUACAAAGCUAGGGAGUGGGAGAGGCAGACGGUAUUCAGUGGGUAGGGGUAAAAUCCACUGAUCCAUUGAGGACCACCAGUGGCGAAGGCGGUCUGCCAGAACACGUUCGACGGUGAGGGAUGAAAGCUGGGGGAGCAAACCGGAUUAGAUACCCGGGUAGUCCCAGCUGUAAACGAUGCAAACUCGGUGAUGCAUUGGCUUAUGGCCAAUGCAGUGCCGCAGGGAAGCCGUUAAGUUUGCCGCCUGGGAAGUACGGACGCAAGUCUGAAACUUAAAGGAAUUGGCGGGGGAGCA
RNAcentral lists this ribosomal RNA (869 nucleotides) under uncultured archaeon. RNAcentral describes it as "bacterial SSU rRNA". It matches the Rfam family "Archaeal small subunit ribosomal RNA", at positions 1 to 878 of the family's 1478-position model. The record is from RNAcentral.